AUUGAACGCUGGCGGCAGGCCUAACACAUGCAAGUCGAGCGGAUGAAGGGAGCUUGCUCCUGUAUUCAGCGGCGGACGGGUGAGUAAUGCCUAGGAAUCUGCCUGGUAGUGGGGGAUAACGUCCGGAAACGGGCGCUAAUACCGCAUACGUCCUGAGGGAGAAAGUGGGGGAUCUUCGGACCUCACGCUAUCAGAUGAGCCUAGGUCGGAUUAGCUAGUUGGUGGGGUAAAGGCCUACCAAGGCGACGAUCCGUAACUGGUCUGAGAGGAUGAUCAGUCACACGGGAACUGAGACACGGUCCAGACACCUACGGGAGGCAGCAGUGGGGAAUAUUGGACAAUGGGCGAAAGCCUGAUCCAGCCAUGCCGCGUGUGUGAAGAAGGUCUUCGGAUUGUAAAGCACUUUAAGUUGGGAGGAAGGGCAGUAAGUUAAUACCUUGCUGUUUUGACGUUACCAACAGAAUAAGCACCGGCUAACUUCGUG
RNAcentral lists this ribosomal RNA (484 nucleotides) under uncultured bacterium. Its description in RNAcentral is "partial 16S ribosomal RNA". It matches the Rfam family "Bacterial small subunit ribosomal RNA", at positions 30 to 507 of the family's 1533-position model. The record is from RNAcentral.